This 478-nucleotide ribosomal RNA is filed under the name uncultured bacterium. RNAcentral describes it as "partial 16S ribosomal RNA". It matches the Rfam family "Bacterial small subunit ribosomal RNA", at positions 28 to 523 of the family's 1533-position model. The record is from RNAcentral.
GACGAACGCUGGCGGCGUGCUUAACACAUGCAAGUCGAACGGUAAGGCCCUUCGGGGUACACGAGUGGCGAACGGGUGAGUAACACGUGGGUGAUCUGCCCUGCACUUCGGGAUAAGCCUGGGAAACUGGGUCUGAUACCGGAUAGGACCACUGCCUGCAUGGGUGGUGGGGGAAAGCUUUUGCGGUGUGGGAUGGGCCCGCGGCCUAUCAGCUUGUUGGUGGGGUGAUGGCCUACCAAGGCGGCGACGGGUAGCCGGCCUGAGAGGGUGACCGGCCACACUGGGACUGAGAUACGGCCCAGACUCCUACGGGAGGCAGCAGUGGGGAAUAUUGCACAAUGGGCGCAAGCCUGAUGCAGCGACGCCGCGUGAGGGAUGACGGCCUUCGGGUUGUAAACCUCUUUCAGCACCGACGAAGCGCAAGUGACGGUAGGUGCAGAAGAAGGACCGGCCAACUACGUGCCAGCCGCCGCCGUAA